RNAcentral lists this ribosomal RNA (480 nucleotides) under uncultured bacterium. RNAcentral's name for it is "partial 16S ribosomal RNA". It matches the Rfam family "Bacterial small subunit ribosomal RNA", at positions 28 to 507 of the family's 1533-position model. The record is from RNAcentral.
GACGAACGCUGGCGGCGUGCUUAACACAUGCAAGUCGAACGAUGAAGAAAAGAAUUGAAGCUUCGGCAGAAAUUCAUUUCGGAUUAGUGGCAGACGGGUGAGUAACGCGUGAGCAACCUACCUCUUACAAAGGGAUAGCCUCGGGAAACCGGGAUUAAUACCAUAUAACAUUGCGACGAAGCAUUUCGAUGCAAUCAAAGCUACGGCGGUAAGAGAUGGGCUCGCGUCCCAUUAACCAGAUGGUGAGGUAACGGCUCACCAUAGUAACGAUGGGUAACCGGCCUGAGAGGGUGAACGGUCACACUGGAACUGAGACACAGUCCAGACUCCUACGGGAGGCAGCAGUGGGGAAUAUUGCACAAUGGAGGGAACUCUGAUGCAGCGACGCCGCGUGAGUGAUGAAGGAAUUCGUUUCGUAAAACUCUGUUCUAUGGGAAGAAAAGGACUGUACCAUAGGAGAAAGCUCCGGCUAAAUACGUG